CUCAAAGACUCCCGUCAGAAGUAGGGCAGUAGCCUCCACUGAAUCCCAGCUUGAACAAGAGGCCUGGACUUUGUUUGAGAAAAACCUUUCCAAGCAUGAGUGAGAGAAGAAGGAGUGAAACUUCAUCUUACUUCGGUUCCUUUUAUGUGGUCAGCUGAUGUUACUCCAAUUCCACAGCAGGAAACAGGAAGCCGGCUUGUGGCCUGGAUCAUCGCCACUGCUGCAGCAUGAAGGAGAAGACUGCACCCAGCCCCUGUUCAUCAGGUGGCAGCGAACAGUGUAAGUGCGGGCCAGAGGACUCUGGAGGAGCAGGGGUCGGCUGUGCAGUCAGCAACUGGACAGAAGAGGUGGUUCCUGCUUCCAAGUGUCGCUUCUCUCCAGCCGCUGGCUGAGCAACAGCACUUGCAUUGCUCACUACCACCUGUGACUCGUCUGCUCUCUGAGGCUGCAGGGGAGCUAUUGUGUGUUUUAUGUGUAUUGGAUGUUCGGAUGCUUGUAACUCAGAGAGUGCCUGCAUGUGUGUAUUUGUUCUAUGGCCUACACAGGUCCGCUGCUGAGCUGGAUCUGACUCA
This is a non-coding RNA of Pelodiscus sinensis (Chinese soft-shelled turtle), 572 nucleotides long. Lineage: Eukaryota; Metazoa; Chordata; Testudines; Trionychidae. The record is from RefSeq and is a predicted model, not a curated record.